GGCGGGAGCGUGGGGUCCUCAGCCCGGAUUGCGAGAGGGUGCAGGCCAGGCUGAGGGACCCCACUGGUGCAUG
This 73-nucleotide microRNA precursor is filed under the name Myotis brandtii (Brandt's bat). Its description in RNAcentral is "mir-9193 microRNA precursor family". It matches the Rfam family "mir-9193 microRNA precursor family". The record is from Rfam by way of RNAcentral. Lineage: Eukaryota; Metazoa; Chordata; Mammalia; Chiroptera; Vespertilionidae.